This 482-nucleotide ribosomal RNA is filed under the name uncultured bacterium. Its description in RNAcentral is "partial 16S ribosomal RNA". It matches the Rfam family "Bacterial small subunit ribosomal RNA", at positions 36 to 507 of the family's 1533-position model. The record is from RNAcentral.
CUUUCCCUCUUUCUUCAUGCCUUACACAUGCAAGUCGAACGGUAACGUGCCUUCGGGUGCCGCCGAGUUGCGUACGGGUGAGUAAUACAUCGGAACGUGCCCGAUCGUGGGGGAUAACGAGUCGAAAGCUUUGCUAAUACCGCAUACGAUCUACGGAUUAACGCAUGGGACCGCAAGGCCUUGCGCGGCUGGAUCGGCCGAUGGCAGAUUAGGUAGGUGGUGGGAUAAAAGCUUACCAAGCCGACGAUCUGUAGCUGGUCUGAUGGGAUGAUCAGCCACACUGGGAGUGAGACACGGCACAGACUCCUACGGGGGGCAGCAGUGGGGAAUUUUGGACAAUGGGCGAAAGCCUGAUCCAGCCAUGCCGCGUGAAGGAUGAAGGCCUUCGGGUUGUAAACUGAUUUUGUACGGAACGAAAAGCCUUCUUUUAAUACAGGAUGGUCAUGACGGUACCGUAAGAAUAAGCACCGGCUAACUACGUG